UAGGGAAUCUUCGGCAAUGGACGAAAGUCUGACCGAGCAACGCCGCGUGAGUGAAGAAGGUUUUCGGAUCGUAAAACUCUGUUGUUAGAGAAGAACAAGGACGUUAGUAACUGAACGUCCCCUGACGGUAUCUAACCAUAAAGCCACGGCUAACUACGUGCCAGCAGCCGCGGUAAUACGUAGGUGGCAAGCGUUGUCCGGAUUUAUUGGGCGUAAAGCGAGCGCAGGCGGUUUCUUAAGUCUGAUGUGAAAGCCCCCGGCUCAACCAGGGAGGGUCAUUGGAGACUGGGAGACUUGAGUGCAGAAGAGGAGAGUGGAAUUCCAUGUGUAGCAGUGAAAUGCGUAGAUAUAUGGAGGAACACAAGUGGCGAAGGCGGCUCGCUGGUCUGUAACUGACGCUGAGGCUCGAAAGCGUGGGGAGCAAACAGG
Molecule: ribosomal RNA, 429 nt
Filed under: Gemmatimonadota bacterium
Lineage: Bacteria; Pseudomonadati; Gemmatimonadota
Description: Gemmatimonadetes bacterium partial 16S ribosomal RNA
Rfam family: Bacterial small subunit ribosomal RNA
Source: RNAcentral